GAAUUGAAGAAAAUCAACAGACAUAAAUUAUUAAGGGUGCACAUCCCUAAUUAAAAAAGCUAAUACAAGAGAUAGAAAGGCCAAAGGAAACCACAUACAAGUAUAGCCCAAACGAAAAUACAACAUAAAGCCCAACAAAAAUCUUCUAUAUAUAAAGCCAAUGGAAAAGGUGAAUUGUGAUUUUGGUGUCACCAAACUUCAACAAAAAUAAUUGGACAAAAAUGCCCACAAGACAAUGCAUCAAAUAAAGCAUGAGCAUUUUCAUCAUUUUAACAAUGUUGUUUUAAUAAUUAAUUUUUUUUGUGCUUUUUUUUAAUUAGUACCUCACAAUAGGCUGGCAAUAAUAUGAUUCAAUUAGCUAUUCAUUCAAUAUUAUUUUCUCUAUUUUUAAACACGUUCAAAACAUCUUAAGAGGUGUGUAAUGCCGGUUUUAAAAAAGGUCUUUCGCACACGGAUAAAAAUGUGAUUAAAUUAGUUGUCAAAUGAUUUUUUUUUAACAAACGAUAUUAUCUACACUAAGAAGGAAGAUGGUGGGCUUAGCCUCACAAUGGGCUAGCAAUAAUGUGAUUCAAUCAGUUGUUUAUUAAAUAUUAUCUUCUCUAUUCUUAAUGUAAAUUUUAUAGAGACUGAUUUUAUUAUGUGGAUUCAGCUGCUUUAAUUGGUUUAUGAGGGGCUUCUUCUAGCAUGAUCUAAGAUUAUUCAUUUACUUCAAAUAUUUGACUUUCCUUUUGUCAAUUUACGCAUAUAAAUACAUUUAAAACGUAUAAAUCACGCGUAGCAUGCCGUGAUUCAAAAAAUGUCUUCUGUAUGAGCGU
Molecule: long non-coding RNA, 815 nt
Filed under: Malus domestica (apple)
Lineage: Eukaryota; Viridiplantae; Streptophyta; Magnoliopsida; Rosales; Rosaceae
Description: long non-coding RNA (MDOM_LNC002812)
Source: RNAcentral